ACACCGGACUGGCCGUGGACUGUUAUCAAUGGAGUUCAGUAUACUACCCUAUCUACUAUUGUGAAUGUUUGAGAUUCUCCAUUGCAAAAUUAAAAAAAAAAAUUGUUGCGGAGUGAUAGUGGAUAGGCUCGAAUAACAACAUCCCACUAGGAAGAAAAUUACUUGCCUUUUAAAUGAUCGCUCAACCCUCAUCUGCUCAAGAGCAAGGCCCUUUCAUUGGGCCAGUCUGUGAUCCUGUCUCGUGCUUGAUCGUGGCCCCACCCGGGAGAUGUAGGCCUUGGGCCCUAAGCCUUUGGCGGGGGAAACAGCGUCUGUUUGUAACUUAAUGGCUUCCCUUUGCUUCGUUGUAUUUAUUUUUUGGCUACCUCUAUUUUGGCAACUAUUUUGGUUUCCUAUUUACAGAAGUGACAAAGUUUUCUUCUUAAAUGUAUGUAAACAAUUUGAUUUAAAGACAAGAAAUAGCACAGGUGGUACUCAGAUAUUGUAGGACUUUUUUUAGGGCGGCAGGAAAUGACAAGUACGGGAGGCACCAAUGCAGUCACAGGAAACAUACAACCGUCUUAACAAAAUCCCGGGUCCCUUCCAUCUGGGAGGUUCUCUGUGCCUGGGGCAAGAUGGCCUGCUCAGGCCUACUGUCUCCCUGAAUUUCAGACGAAGCACCUGACACACAGAAGGGAGGCCAACAGCAGGCAGCGGAGGCAGAUCACACAGGGAAGGCUGGCUGCCAGAAUGGACCCCAGCUGGGCAUCAGACGCCAUCCACUACCAGAGUCACAUCACCCCCAGGCCCGCUUGGCCAGACCCUCAGCCUUGGCAGUCGCUCGUCAGCUCUCUGUUUCUAGAAUCUUGCCACCUCAAGAUGUCGUAUGGAUGAAAUCAUACAGUAUGAAACCUUUGGGGACUGGCUUUUUUCCACUUAGUGAAAUUCCCUGGAGAUUCACCUGAGAUGUUGCAUGUAUCAAUAGCUUGCUCCUUUACUACCAAGUGGUAUUGCAUGCCAUGGGUGGGUCACAGUCUGUCUAACCGUCAUCCCCGGAAGGACCCCUGUGCUGUUGCCAGUUUCGGGGUACUCUGAAUAAAGCUGCUAUGAACAUCUUA
Molecule: long non-coding RNA, 1097 nt
Organism: Acinonyx jubatus (cheetah)
Lineage: Eukaryota; Metazoa; Chordata; Mammalia; Carnivora; Felidae
Exons: 2
Source: RefSeq, a predicted model, not a curated record